Molecule: ribosomal RNA, 467 nt
Filed under: uncultured bacterium
Lineage: Bacteria
Description: bacterial SSU rRNA
Rfam family: Bacterial small subunit ribosomal RNA
Source: RNAcentral
AGGACGACGCUGGCGGCGUGCCUAACACAUGCAAGUCGAACGAGGUCCAAGGAAGCUUGCUUCCUGAAGACCUAGUGGCGAACGGGUGAGUAACACGUGAGAAACCUGCCUCGGAGUGGGGAAUAACUCGGGGAAACUCGAGCUAAUACCGCAUACCUUCACAUGAUCGCAUGGUCGAGUGAAGAAAGAAUUUCGCUCUGAGAGGGUCUCGCGGCCUAUCAGCUUGUUGGUGGGUAACGGCCUACCAAGGCAACGACGGGUAGCUGGUUUGAGAGAACGAUCAGCCACACUGGGACUGAGACACGGCCCAGACUCCUACGGGAGGCAGCAGUGGGGAAUCUUGCGCAAUGGGCGAAAGCCUGACGCAGCAACGCCGCGUGCGGGAUGACGGCCUUCGUGGUUGUAAACCGCUUUCAGCAGGGACGAAAAUGACGGUACCUGCAGAAGAAGCCCCGGCUAACUACGUG